Molecule: ribosomal RNA, 500 nt
Filed under: uncultured bacterium
Lineage: Bacteria
Description: partial 16S ribosomal RNA
Rfam family: Bacterial small subunit ribosomal RNA
Source: RNAcentral
AUUGAACGCUGGCGGCAGGCCUAACACAUGCAAGUCGAGCGGUUGAAGGGAGCUUGCUCCCUGAUUCAGCGGCGGACGGGUGAGUAAUGCCUAGGAAUCUGCCUAUUAGUGGGGGACAACGUUUCGAAAGGAACGCUAAUACCGCAUACGUCCUACGGGAGAAAGCAGGGGACCUUCGGGCCUUGCGCUGAUAGAUGAGCCUAGGUCGGAUUAGCUUGUUGGUGAGGUAAUGGCUCACCAAGGCGACGAUCCGUAACUGGUCUGAGAGGAUGAUCAGUCACACUGGAACUGAGACACGGUCCAGACUCCUACGGGAGGCAGCAGUAGGGAAUAUUGGACAAUGGGCGAAAGCCUGAUCCAGCCAUGCCGCGUGUGUGAAGAAGGUCUUCGGAUUGUAAAGCACUUUAAGUUGGGAGGAAGGGUUGUAGAUUAAUACUCUGCAAUUUUGACGUUACCGACAGAAUAAGCACCGGCUAACUCUGUGCCAGCCGCCGCAGUAA